UAUAAGUAUAAACGAUUUAAUCGUGAAACCGCGAACGGCUCAUUAUAACAGCUAUAAUUGACUUGAUCUUGACUUCCUACUUGGAUAACUGUGGUAAUUCUAGAGCUAAUACAUGCACCAAAGCUCCGACCUUACGGGAAGAGCGCAUUUAUUCGAACAAAACCAAGCGGCUUCGGCCGUCCGCAGUUGACUCAGAAUAACUAAGCUGAUCGCAUGGUCUUGUACCGGCGACGUGUCUUUCAAGUAUCUGCCUUAUCAACUUUCGAUGGUAGUGUAUCUGACUACCAUGGUGGUGACGGGUAACGGAGGAUAAGGGUUCGACUCCGGAGAAGGGGCCUGAGAAAUGGCCACUACGUCUAAGGAUGGCAGCAGGCGCGCAAAUUACCCACUCUCAGAAUGAGGAGGUAGUGACGAGAAAUAACGAGACCGUUCUCUACGAGGCCGGUCAUCGGAAUGGGUACAAUUUAAA
Molecule: ribosomal RNA, 469 nt
Filed under: unidentified nematode Sourhope farm
Lineage: Eukaryota; Metazoa; Nematoda
Description: SSU rRNA
Rfam family: Eukaryotic small subunit ribosomal RNA
Source: RNAcentral